Molecule: unclassified non-coding RNA, 990 nt
Filed under: Hevea brasiliensis (rubber tree)
Lineage: Eukaryota; Viridiplantae; Streptophyta; Magnoliopsida; Malpighiales; Euphorbiaceae
Source: RNAcentral
AAGAAAAGCAAUGCUUUUUCUUCUCCCUUGCGUGUACAGCAUCGAUCAUAUGCUUGAAAACAGGGGUUAAGCAAGAACUCAGAAAUGAAUCACGGAAUUAUCUCAGCCGGAACCCAAGCUAGCUUACAUAUCUGCAAAUCACCCAAUAUCUCAGCCACAAAGUCCAUGUUUGAUCCUUCUUCUCACCUAACCUUCACUACCCAUUUCCCAGAAUCAAGCUUUUCUCUCAAAACUCAUUCCAAAUCUGUUAGAGCCAGUCCAAUUAAGGCCGCUGUGGCUGAUAGCGUCUAUGUUAACCCAGAGACUGUGAGUUUCUACGAUCUGUUGGGCAUCUCAGAGAGUGUUCCGCUCUCAGAAAUCAAGAAAGCUUAUAAGCAACUGGCAAGGAAGUACCAUCCUGAUGUGUCACCGCAGGAACAUACAGAGGAGUAUACCAAGAGGUUUAUUGAGGUUCAGGAGGCUUAUGAGACCUUGUCCGACCCCAAAAGAAGAGCUCUGUAUGACAGAGGCUUGCAUAUGGCUCUCUUUGCCGGAAAACAAUUCCACUACAACAUGGUUAGGGAAGGGAGAGGUGACUGGAAAGAGCAAUGGGAGUCUCAGCUCACAGAGUUAGAGAGAGAAAGGAACUGCAAUGAGGAGCUGAGAGAGAACAUGUCUUGGGGAGCUAGGAUGCGUAGGCAAAGAAGUGAAAGAUAUAAUUAAGAAAUUAUUAAUUGCAAUAACAGGCUCUGUAACCCCUGUUUGGUCCAAAGCUAAGCUAGGAGGCUCUACUACGAUGGACUGCAACUAGACAACAGCAGAACAUUUCCUGAUCGAGCUCUCAUCAGAGUUAAAACUCAUAUAAUCUCAGUCUCCAAAACGAUUUCAGUAACAUGAAGCUAGCUUAUCAGAUUUGUGGGAUAUAUCCGAAUGGAUUCACACAGCCCUCUGUCAGUCCCUACCUACAACUUGAGGCUGGGUCGGGAAUUUGCAAUUAUAGUUGAAAACUAG